Molecule: ribosomal RNA, 493 nt
Filed under: Glomus sp. CMCCROC2
Lineage: Eukaryota; Fungi; Glomeromycota; Glomeromycetes; Glomerales; Glomeraceae
Description: eukaryotic LSU rRNA
Rfam family: Eukaryotic large subunit ribosomal RNA
Source: RNAcentral
AAAAUGGGAGGGAAAUUUCUCAUAAGGCUACAUAACGGCGAGAGACCGAUAGUGAACAAGUACCGUGAGGGAAAGAUGAAAAGAACUUUGAAAAGAGAGUUAAUCAGUACGUCAAAUUGCCAAAGGGAAACGAUUGAAGCCAGUCGUACCUUCGGGUAAUCAGCCUUUCGGGUGCGAUUGAGUGGAGUGUGAGGAGCCUAAACACCUUCAUGUUUCGCAUCUUUGUACUGUUUGGCGUACUUGCCCGUGUGGUUGGUUAACAUCAAUUUUGGUGGUCAUAAAAUGACUGGGGGAAUGUAGCUUCGAUCUUGUAUUGAAGUGUUAUAGCCUUUGGUAGAUGCGAUGAUCGAGAUUGAGGAUUGCAACGGAUACCCUUCGGGGCUACCUGUCUGGUCUCUGAUCGUUGCUCUGGUGCCGAAAGCUUGCUUACGGUUAUCAAAGUCGAUGGUCAAUAGGUUAGAACGGGUCAACUUCGUUAAGGAGCGACGUAAGG